CUGAGAGUUAAGGGCACUUUCCAAAAAAUUACCUAGCUAAAACUUUGACAUGCUAAAACUCAAAAUAAAUGACAAUUAUAUAUAGUGUUCAAACAAGGCCAUUCAAUGACUUGUUUGGAAAAAGACAGACAAGAUCAUUCUCAAAAUCCUCUCUUCUAACUAACACGUAACUGCCACUUUUUAGCAGUGACUACUCCAGGCCCACUUUAAUCAUCCUGCCUACAUAUAAAAAAAGUAAGACCAGUGAUUGAAUUUCCCCAGCCCCUGACAACAUCCAAUUCAUAACUGGACCCCAUGUUUUUAAAUCCUCCCUACAACCAUGGAAUACAAGCCCAAGUCUUAUAAGAAGCUCCUGAAAACUUUUUUACUGAGACAACCCCCAGUUCCUCUUAAGUGCACUCCCCCUGGCUGCAGUAAGUGAAAUAAAUCUAACUCUGACUACUGUUAUGUUCCUACUGCUCUUUGGCAGAUGGGCUAUAGCAGAUUUUAGAUUGUUUGACUAGAGGAAAGGUGGUGCUAGGGUACACUGAAAAGCAAUAUUUGAGAGAAGAUUGAAAAUUGCAUUUUAUACAUAUUGAGUUUAGGAUGCUUUUGAGAAAUUCAUAUGAUGUUAAAGAAGCACUGGUCUGCAAAGGUCUGUAGAACAAAGAGGAAGCCUGGAUACAAAUUUAGAAGUUACCAACAUUCAGAUGGAAAUUGAAGCUAUGAUGUGGAUGAGAUCACUCAGUACAAAAAGCAAAGGGAGGGAAGAAUGGGAACUAGGACCGAAUCUUCAAUAACUCUAAUAUGAAGGUUCUGUAGAGAAGGAUGAACAACAAAGAAGGCUGAGAAAGCACAUUCAGAAACAAAGCAGAAAGACCAAGAGAAUGUCAUCACAAGAACUAAGAAAAAGGCUAUUUCAGGGCCUUUGGAGAGAUCAAUGGUUGAAAGCAUUUGAGACAUCAAGUCAGUAGAGAAGGGAAGAAGUCCCUUUGGAGUUCAUCAUUGAUAUUUUUUAUGAGAGAUUUUUCAGAGUUGUGAUGGAAGCAGAAGCCAUAUUAAGUGGACGAAGGGUAAGUAUGAGGUAAGUUAAGUGAAGAAAGAAAAAGGGUCUUCCAGAAAGAAGAGUUUGAUAGAGGUAUAAAUAGUGGUUAAGAGAAUGGAUUCUAGAGAGAAAAUGAUAGACUUCAAAUCCCAAUUGUGUCUUUUACUAGUUGUGUGACCUUGCUUGGACUCCUUAACUUACUUGUGCCUCAGUUUCUUCAUGUGUCAACUGGGAGAAAAACAGUAACUGACCACAUGGGCUUGUCAGAGGAAUAGAUCAAUUAAUGGAAUUCCUUGUAUCUAGUAACCUCUCAAUAAAUAUUAGCAACAAUUAUUGUGAAAACAUGAAAUAGCAUGAUGCUAGUAGGGGCUUGAAAGUAGACCAAUGUGAAUGGUGAGUAUGGAGAUAAGACCAGAGAGGUUGACAGGGUCCUAAGCACAGAAGAUCUUGAAUGCCAUGCUAAAGAGGUAGAUUUUCUCUCAAGGCAUAGGAAGUCAUUGAGGGAGUUUAAGAAGAGAGUGAUGUCAUUAUAUUUCUAUUUUAGAAAAAUCACUCAGACUGUAGGCUAGAGGAUGGAUCAGAGUAGGACUGAGCUGAAGGCUGAGACAGCAGUUAGGAGCCUAUUUCAGAAACUUAAAUGAAAAGUGAUAUUGCCUAGAUUAAGGCAGAGAAAGUAGAAAUAGAGAAAAAAAUGAAUCGAGGUAAACGAUCAUGAUUUGGUUACUGAUUGGAUACUGUAGGUGAGAGAGAGAAUGACAUCUAGGAUACUUACUGUUCUCCUCCCCCCAAAUUUCUAGCUUGGGUUGCUAGCUGAGUAGUAGUGACAUUUACUCAGGAAGAAGGUCUAGGAGGGACAAAAGGUGAAGGGGUUGCUUGGGAAUUAGGAUUAUCAUUCAAUUUUGGAUAUGCUGUGUCUGCGGAACACCCAAAUGAUGAAGAUAUCCAUGUACAACCUAGAACCAAUAAGAAAGUUUGAGCUCAAGAUCUGUAAAUAGUUGUUUAAAUCAUGAGUAUUCCAGUGGUUACUGAGGAAGAAUGUCUAGAGAGAGAAUAGUGCUUGAAAGAAACUAUUAUUCAGUGAGUUUAUCUAGGAAAAUAACAUCAGUUGACGAUAGACAAAUGCUAAAUCUUAUUGAGAGUUUGGUAGAAGAUAAAUGAUGGCAACUGCUAUGGCUAACUACCAUCCUCAAAUCUGGUUCUUUAUUUAAGAGUGGAGAGUUAAUGACGAGGAGCAACAAUGGGGACCAAGAAGAAAGCUAACCCCUCUCUCCUCCACUCAGCCUCCCAAGCCUCUCCUCCUGGUCCAUGUUGUGUGAAAAAAUAAUCAUCCUGUAGUGGAGAGAGUGGCAAGGAAAGUAGUUACUUCUAUAAUACCUUGAGAUUUAGCCUAGCUUCAGGAAAGUAGGUGUUUGGUGAAAAAGGGGAUGGAACAGGGUGUUGGUUUUCUCUAAAGCAGGAUUUCCAGAAGGCCUCAGUGGAAAAAGAUGGCAGCAGUGGGAGAAUGAAUGAGAAGGAGGCUGGAGGGGCAAGUGUUCUCUCCUUUGGGGAAGAAUGACAAGAUGAAGGGGUGAACUCAGCCAGCUAUGUUUAAUACCCAAGACUCUCAGGACCACAGGUGAUGGGACCACACCUGGUCAUGGCAGCUGAGAUCCCUGGUGUGACCUGGCUCAAAAAGAAGAAUUAGACCUCUCAGAUUCUCUCAUUCUCAGGAUGGAUGAUUCUAGAAGCAAUAUAUGACCAGGAAAAUCCAAACCCUUUAGCAUGGCAUCCAAAUCCUCCAUGAUGCUUCGGCUGGCUACUUCCUCAGCAUCAUCUCUGCUGCACUGCAUCUAACCCCAGUUUCAACUUAUCCAGACCUUCUGUGACUCCCACAACAUCUCCAGUUGUUGCCUCCAUCUGGACUUUGCUCUCACUUAUCCCUCUUGUGGGAAGGCUAAAGUUCCUUUCUCUUCCCGUCAACACUUUCCGAUGUUGAUCUUCAAUAUUUAUGAUUCUUCCCCACAUUUAAAUCACUGUCUUUUUAUUAUGUCCCAACUAUAUUCUGUACAGCUGACUAUGACAGCAUCAAUGUCACUUUAUUGCACUUAAUUUUAAAACUUUUGGAUUCCUCUAUUCGACCUAGAGGGACAGAAAAUACAUCAUUUUUACUGUUUGUCCUACGCCUAAAAGUGGAAGCAUUCAGAACAUGCUGUGGAGGGAAGGAAGGCAACAAAUACACUGAUCCCUCAUGGAUCAAAAACUAGCCUCGCCUCUGAGAGAAAAAAGUAAUGCUGGGUUUCCUGCUAUGUGUCAAUUCCUGUGGGAAGCAUAUGCUGAUAUUCUGCCCACACCUCCACCAAUCACCCAGUGUAAGGGUAAAAACAUCAUCUAGGUCACCCGACGUGUGCCCAUUAGAGCACAAGAACAGCGCGUGCUCUGCUUCCCUGCCCAUCUGCCCGCAGGACCGGACCUAAGCUCCUCAAAGGCGGGACCAUCUGAUACACCUUGAAUCUCCAGAUUCGAGCACUGUCAAGUUUCAUGGUUAACAAAGGUUUAUUAAUGAAAUGAACUAAUAUAAUGUCAUAUUGUAUAACAUCUUCUAUUAUAUAUUACGUAUAGUUUAAGAUGAAAUAAAGCAAAGCUGGUAAUACUGAAAUAUUCUAAACUGGAGCUGUAAUGACAUUUUCAACAAGCGUCUGAGGGUGGAGGAUGACCCAAGCAGAAGGUCUGGGAAAUGGGUGGCGAACCGUUUCUGUGCUGGAGACUGUUAACAGUCUGGAAAUGCCUGUAGGUCCCUUCUCAAAUGAUUUUUUUUAAAUACAUAGUGAAAUGCAUAAUAUGACAAAGGAAAUCAGUCCAUGUUGAGUUAGUUACCAAAAGAGGGUUUUCGUUCUUCUUGUUGUUUUACGUAGCAUGAUUUUUUAAUUUAUUAAUUAUUUUUAAAGCUAU
Molecule: long non-coding RNA, 3952 nt
Filed under: Equus caballus (horse)
Lineage: Eukaryota; Metazoa; Chordata; Mammalia; Perissodactyla; Equidae
Description: lncRNA (ENSECAG00000052362.1)
Source: RNAcentral